AUGAGAAGGACAUAUACAAAAGAAAACAAAUUCCUUCCGCAAAAAGAAACGUUCUCCGCCACCCAAACGACCGAACCCCGAACGAACGGACGGGGCGAGGCCGCUCGAGCCGUCCAGAAUCUUCCGGCCCGCCACCCCGGGCCCACCGCCAGCCACACACCCAUCCCGUUGGAGAAUGACGGAAACGCCCCCGCCCCCCAUUUCUUUCCCCUUCCCCAAGCCGUUGCGGCGGGCCCCCGGGGGUUUAAGAGCAGAGGCCGCCUCCCGCUAGGGUUUUUCGGAUCUCACCUCUGCCCCUUUUCUCCAUCCCCGACUCGCCGCCGCCGCCGGGAGCCGACGACCCAACAAGCUCGCGCGCCAGCCAUGGCCAUCGGAUCUCUCCUCGCCUCGCGGCUGGCCAGGUCCGGCCACGCCCUCGCCACGCNNNNNNNNNNNCAGGCUCCCCGGACCCACCAACAUCAUCACGAGGCGUCUCCCCUGCUCUCCAGGCUCGGAGCCGUGGCCCGCGCUUUCAGCUCAAGGCCCGCUGCCGCAGAUGUCAUCGGGAUCGAUUUGGGGACGACAAACUCAUGUGUCUCCGUCAUGGAAGGCAAGACACCACGAGUGAUUGAGAAUGCUGAAGGUGCGAGGACAACACCCUCCAUUGUUGCCACAAACAACAAAGGCGAGAUCUUGAUCGGCAUCACUGCCAGUCGGCAGGCAGUGACAAAUGCCGAGAACACAGUUCGUGGGUCAAAGCGCCUGAUUGGUAGAGCUUUUGAUGACCCCCAAACACAGAAGGAAAUGAAGAUGGUGCCUUACAAGAUUGUCAGGGGAACAAAUGGUGAUGCCUGGGUGGAGAUGGCUGGGAAAUCAUACUCCCCAAGCCAGAUUGGUGCCUUUGUUCUUACCAAGAUGAAGGAAACUGCAGAGGCUUACCUUGGCAAGUCGGUCUCCAAGGCUGUUAUUACAGUCCCAGCUUAUUUCAAUGAUGCUCAGCGUCAGGCCACCAAGGAUGCUGGUAGGAUUGCUGGGUUGGACGUGAUGAGGAUUAUCAAUGAGCCCACUGCUGCAGCUCUGUCGUAUGGAAUGAACAACAAGGAGGGCCUGAUUGCUGUAUUUGACUUGGGUGGUGGCACAUUUGAUGUAUCAAUCCUUGAGAUUUCUAAUGGCGUUUUUGAGGUCAAGGCGACCAAUGGAGAUACUUUCCUUGGUGGUGAGGACUUUGAUGCUACAUUGCUCAACUACCUGGUUAGUGAAUAUAAGAACUCUGACAACAUUGAUCUGAGCAAGGACAAGUUGGCCCUGCAAAGGCUCAGGGAAGCUGCUGAGAAGGCGAAGGUUGAGCUUUCCUCGACUCCACAGACUGAAAUUAAUCUCCCCUUCAUCACAGCAGAUGCCUCUGGUGCGAAGCAUUUCAACAUUACCUUGACCAGAUCAAAGUUUGAGUCUCUUGUGGGCAAUCUCAUUGAGAGAACUCGCAUCCCAUGCACAAACUGCCUCAAGGAUGCUGGUGUUUCUGCAAAGGAGAUUGAUGAGGUUCUACUGGUUGGUGGUAUGACAAGGGUGCCAAAGGUCCAGGAUAUUGUUUCUCAGAUAUUCGGCAAGUCUCCAAGCAAGGGUGUCAAUCCUGAUGAGGCUGUUGCCAUGGGAGCUGCCAUUCAGGGUGGCAUCUUGAGGGGUGAUGUGAAGGAGCUCUUGUUGCUGGAUGUAACACCCCUUUCCCUUGGUAUUGAGACUCUUGGAGGCAUCUUCACAAGGCUAAUCAACAGGAACACCACAAUUCCAACCAAGAAGAGCCAGACCUUCUCCACUGCUGCAGAUAACCAGACGCAGGUUGGAAUCAAGGUGCUUCAGGGUGAGAGGGAGAUGGCCACAGAUAACAAGCUUCUUGGUGAAUUCCAGCUUGAAGGUAUUCCACCAGCCCCGAGGGGUAUGCCACAGAUCGAGGUCACUUUUGACAUUGAUGCCAAUGGUAUUGUCAAGGUGUCAGCAAAGGACAAGUCCACUGGCAAAGAGCAGGAUAUCACCAUCAAAUCUUCAGGUGGUUUGUCUGACAGUGACAUUGAGAAGAUGGUGAAGGAGGCGGAGCUAAAUUCUCAGAGGGAUCAGGAAAGGAAGUCGUUGAUUGACCUCAGGAACUCUGCAGAUACCACCAUCUACAGCAUCGAGAAGAGCGUCAGCGAGUACAAAGACAAGGUCCCUGCUGAAGUCGUCACGGAAAUCCAGUCUGCUGUCUCUGAUCUGAGAGCAGCAAUGGCUGGUGAUGAUUCGGACGCCAUCAAGCAGAAGCUGGAGGCGGCGAACAAGGCAGUCUCAAAGAUUGGACAGCACAUGCAGGGUGGUGGCGGCGCUGCCGGCGGCGACAGCGGCAGCAGUGGUGGUGGCGACCAGACUCCGGAAGCUGAAUACCAGGACCCCAAGGAGGCCAAGAUGUAG
RNAcentral lists this ribosomal RNA (2418 nucleotides) under Triticum aestivum (bread wheat). RNAcentral's name for it is "partial small subunit ribosomal RNA". The record is from RNAcentral. Lineage: Eukaryota; Viridiplantae; Streptophyta; Magnoliopsida; Poales; Poaceae.